AUUGAACGCUGGCGGCAGGCCUAACACAUGCAAGUCGAACGAGUAGCGGACGGGUGAGUAAUGUCUGGGAAACUGCCUGAUGGAGGGGGAUAACUACUGGAAACGUUAGCUAAUACCGCAUACCAUCAGAUGUGCCCAGAUGGGAUUAGCUUGUGGGGGGGGUAACGGCUCACAAAGGCGACGAUCCCUAGCUGGUCUGAGAGGAUGACCAGCCACACUGGAACUGAGACACGGUCCAGACGCCUACGGGAGGCAGCAGUGGGGAAUAGUGCAAAAUGGGCGCAAGCCUGAUGCAGCAAUGCCGCGGGUAUGAAGAAGGCCUUCGGGUUGUAAAGUACUUUCAGCGGGGAGGCGUUACCCGCAGAAGAAGCACCGGCUAACUCCGUGCCAGCAGCCGCGGUAAUAC
This 406-nucleotide ribosomal RNA is filed under the name uncultured bacterium. RNAcentral's name for it is "partial 16S ribosomal RNA". It matches the Rfam family "Bacterial small subunit ribosomal RNA", at positions 30 to 526 of the family's 1533-position model. The record is from RNAcentral.